AUACGGAGGGUGCAAGCGUUACUCGGAAUCACUGGGCGUAAAGCGCGCGCAGGCGGCCAUUUAAGUUGGAUGUGAAAGCCUACGGCUCAACCGUAGAACUGCAUCCAAAACUAUUUGGCUAGAGUGUGGGAGAGGAAGAUGGAAUUAGUUGUGUAGGGGUAAAAUCCGUAGAGAUAACUAGGAAUACCAAAAGCGAAGGCAAUCUUCUGGAACAUUACUGACGCUGAGGCGCGAAAGCGUGGGGAGCAAACAGGAUUAGAUACCCCAGUAGUCC
Molecule: ribosomal RNA, 274 nt
Filed under: uncultured bacterium
Lineage: Bacteria
Description: partial 16S ribosomal RNA
Rfam family: Bacterial small subunit ribosomal RNA
Source: RNAcentral